Molecule: long non-coding RNA, 1408 nt
Organism: Hipposideros armiger (great roundleaf bat)
Lineage: Eukaryota; Metazoa; Chordata; Mammalia; Chiroptera; Hipposideridae
Exons: 3
Source: RefSeq, a predicted model, not a curated record
GACACACCGCCUUCCGACUCCCAGGGCCUGAUAACUGCGUCAGUAUGUGCAGUGAUGACAGAUGUGACAGACACCAGCAUGGCUCUCACGGCAUACAUUGUGUUGUUUGUUACAGCCAUCUUCUAUUUCUGGAAAACAUUCCCAGCUGCCUGCAGCACAGCUAGGAGUUACGGGUGAGAUGUUCUGGGAUUGCAGCUGCUGCCAUUUGACACUCAGCCUAUCUCCAUCUUUGUGGAGACAACUGAGCAUAAUACACUGGAUUGGACUUGGAUGUGAGUUUCAGCUCUGUGACUCACUUGCUGAGAAUUUUUUUUUAGGUUUUCUCUCAGAAUUACUAAUUCUGCCCAUUGAUGAUUGCUAAUCUGAAGAUUAUGUUCUAAUUUGAAGCCUUGAAACAUUUUCCUGUUUGAAAAAUGAGGUUAAGAACAGCAUCUGCUGUAUGUGUUUUUGGCUGCACUACUGGAGUUCACCAACAGGGUUUGUGACCCAGGACACUGACUGUCAACAAACGUUCACACAGUAAAAUGACUCUCCUCACUCAGCACCAAGCCCUGUACCUAAAUGUUUCAACAAGCUUCUCUAAAAAGGCUGACCCCUUUUCCCCUUUAUAGUUUUCAGGUUGAUUAUAAACUCCAACUACAAAAUUUCCCUUUCCUACCUGAAGAGGGAUUCUCUAUACUUAUUUCUGGAGUCUUGAUAUAAAAGCUCAUCUUAAUAAAGGUUUAUAUAUUUUUAAUCAAGGAUUUCAGUAAAUAUUCCAUUUGCUCACUGAUGAAACUUUAGACUGUACAUUGCUUAUUAAAUUCUUUAUGUAAAAAUGUGUAACCAUUCUCCUCUGGUGGUAUGAUUUUUAACCUCAGCAAGUCUCAGUUAAUUAUCUGUAGUUUGUAGUAGUGUAAUGUUUGUAGUAGUACCUAUCUCAUAAAGUUGUGAGCAUUAAAUAAAAUAAUAUAUUAAAAAGGCAUAGCUGUCUGUAAUCUGUAGUUUUACCAUUAGCAUUGGCUAGUUGGUUUCUAAUGGAUAAACUAAUUGGUUUCUCCCACUAUGCUCCCCUACUUCCGAUGGAGCAUGAAAGUAGGUUUGCCAACACAGACGGAUGAGUAUCCUGUGGGGCCUGGGAAAGUGGCACCUCAUGGCUGAUGUCUGGGAGACUCAUGUAGGGCCCCAAACCUGAGACACCUCUUACAGGGUUAGAAACUCAGUCCCAAGUUGCAUAAACCGAGACGAGCAAGCCCAACUGAGAAGACGAGAAUUAUGGGGAGCUGCCGGGUCUCCAUCUCAGAAAGAAGUCUUGCUAAGCCCAGGAGGAAGUACACAAUCUUCUCAGACAUUCUCAGCCCAGAAAUGACAUCACCCAAACCAUCCCCUCCAUCCACGCUGAAAUAUUAAAAUAUACCAUGGACUUCUU